GUAGGUAUGAUGAAAUAGGUAGACAUGCUAGAUUUAGGUUCUAGUAAUUUUUAUUGUGAGGGUUCGAGUCCCUCUACCUAUA
RNAcentral lists this transfer RNA (82 nucleotides) under Hildenbrandia rubra. Its description in RNAcentral is "tRNA-Leu". It matches the Rfam family "tRNA". Rfam says of the family: Transfer RNA (tRNA) molecules are approximately 80 nucleotides in length. Their secondary structure includes four short double-helical elements and three loops (D, anti-codon, and T loops). Further hydrogen bonds mediate the characteristic L-shaped molecular structure. tRNAs have two regions of fundamental functional importance: the anti-codon, which is responsible for specific mRNA codon recognition, and the 3' end, to which the tRNAs corresponding amino acid is attached (by aminoacyl-tRNA synthetases). tRNAs cope with the degeneracy of the genetic code in two manners: having more than one tRNA (with a specific anti-codon) for a particular amino acid; and 'wobble' base-pairing, i.e. permitting non-standard base-pairing at the 3rd anti-codon position. The record is from RNAcentral. Lineage: Eukaryota; Rhodophyta; Florideophyceae; Hildenbrandiales; Hildenbrandiaceae.